AGACCCGAAACCCGGUGAUCUAGCCAUGGGCAGGUUGAAGGUUGGGUAACACUAACUGGAGGACCGAACCGACUAAUGUUGAAAAAUUAGCGGAUGACCUGUGGCUGGGGGUGAAAGGCCAAUCAAACCGGGAGAUAGCUGGUUCUCCCCGAAAGCUAUUUAGGUAGCGCCUCGUGAAUUCAUCUCCGGGGGUAGAGCACUGUUUCGGCUAGGGGGCCAUCCCGGCUUACCAACCCGAUGCAAACUGCGAAUACCGGAGAAUGUUAUCACGGGAGACACACGGCGGGUGCUAACGUCCGUCGUGAAGAGGGAAACAACCCAGACCGCCAGCUAAGGUCCCAAAGUCAUGGUUAAGUGGGAAACGAUGUGGGAAGGCCCAGACAGCCAGGAUGUUGGCUUAGAAGCAGCCAUCAUUUAAAGAAAGCGUAAUAGCUCACUGGUCGAGUCGGCCUGCGCGGAAGAUGUAACGGGGCUAAACCAUGCACCGAAGCUGCGGCAGCGACACUCAGGUGUUGUUGGGUAGGGGAGCGUUCUGUAAGCCUGUGAAGGUGGCCUGUGAGGGUUGCUGGAGGUAUCAGAAGUGCGAAUGCUGACAUAAGUAACGAUAAAGCGGGUGAAAAGCCCGCUCGCCGGAAGACCAAGGGUUCCUGUCCAACGUUAAUCGGGGCAGGGUGAGUCGACCCCUAAGGCGAGGCCGAAAGGCGUAGUCGAUGGGAAACGGGUUAAUAUUCCCGUACUUGGUGUUACUGCGAAGGGGGGACGGAGAAGGCUAUGUUGGCCGGGCGACGGUUGUCCCGGUUUAAGCGUAUAGGUGUGUGUUCCAGGUAAAUCCGGUUCACUUUAACACUGAGGCGUGAUGACGAGGCGCUACGGUGCUGAAGCAACAAAUGCCCUGCUUCCAGGAAAAGCCUCUAAGCAUCAGGUAACAUCAAAUCGUACCCCAAACCGACACAGGUGGUCAGGUAGAGAAUACCAAGGCGCUUGAGAGAACUCGGGUGAAGGAACUAGGCAAAAUGGUGCCGUAACUUCGGGAGAAGGCACGCUGACAUGUAGGUG
This 1056-nucleotide ribosomal RNA is filed under the name Salmonella enterica. Its description in RNAcentral is "partial 23S ribosomal RNA". It matches the Rfam family "Bacterial large subunit ribosomal RNA", at positions 711 to 1764 of the family's 2925-position model. Lineage: Bacteria; Pseudomonadati; Pseudomonadota; Gammaproteobacteria; Enterobacterales; Enterobacteriaceae. The record is from RNAcentral.